UUGAAUUAUAAUUACCAC
Molecule: small nuclear RNA, 18 nt
Filed under: Arabidopsis thaliana (thale cress)
Lineage: Eukaryota; Viridiplantae; Streptophyta; Magnoliopsida; Brassicales; Brassicaceae
Description: snRNA_14650
Source: RNAcentral